RNAcentral lists this long non-coding RNA (264 nucleotides) under Lathyrus oleraceus (garden pea). RNAcentral describes it as "Pisum sativum (pea) long non-coding RNA (PSAT_LNC018943)". Lineage: Eukaryota; Viridiplantae; Streptophyta; Magnoliopsida; Fabales; Fabaceae. The record is from RNAcentral.
AAAUGAAGUUGUUUGACGAGAGUAAUUGAUCUAUAGGGGGUGAAUGGAUCCCCAUUAAAAAAACAGAAUUUAAAAUUCAGUUUAGAAAAUAUUUUAUAUGGUUUUUCGAAAGUGAUUCCGGAUAGAAAACUCGUCUAUUCAAACUUGUUACCGAAAGGACCGAAUAUGCGUCUAAACUGUAAUGUGUUAAGUUUAACACAACGCCAAGAUGAGAAUUAGAAUUGAUGUGAUUUUCUAAAACGCAUUAAACUUUAUAACACUUUG